GAGAGUUCUGUUCGCGUGAUUUUGGCAACUGACAAAUAAAACUAUACGGAAUUAGUACGGAUACAACUUGCAUCUGGUCCAGAACAGUGGUUGAGUUAAUUUUUUCAGAAAAAUGUUACCAAGAACUGUCCUCGUGAUGUUCGCUUGCGCUGCCGUUAUUGGGAUGGUGGCCGAGGUCGUCAUCGCCGAUGAGGUUCCAUAUCCGCCAGGUCGUGGAAGCGUUCUUCAUCAGCUAUAUUCUCUCAAAGCCAAGGCUAUCAGAAAUGAAGCUCGGAAAGAUGGAGGCCUCCAAUAUCCGCCGUGUUACCCCAGCUGUGAUUUUUAGCAAAGAAAAGGACCGCAUAUCACGGUGAAGCCUGGGAUCGAUCAUUUUUUUCUUUAUUUUAUCGAGCAUGGAGCCUGUCUGAACCAACACGCUGUACUUCCAGAUGUGAAGGUCCAGGGGCGGAUCCAGGAUUUUUGAAAAAAUAAAGGGGGGGGGAUUUUCCCGAAAAAAAAUGACAAGCAAAAAGAAAAAGCAAAAAGAAAACCUUACUGGUGUAUGAAGUAUGAGCGGCAUAUUCCCAUUGGAAAUCUAGCA
Molecule: long non-coding RNA, 580 nt
Filed under: Lytechinus variegatus (green sea urchin)
Lineage: Eukaryota; Metazoa; Echinodermata; Echinoidea; Temnopleuroida; Toxopneustidae
Description: uncharacterized LOC121420760
Source: RNAcentral